AUCAUGGACACGAUUAUGACAGCAUACCGCCUGGCUGGCAGGCCAGUGCUGGGAUUUGUGGUGGCACAUUCAACACGAGGUGUGGCUGGGCUCUACUGAGGUGUGCUGAUAUCGGUGCUGUGGCCAGCUGGGUUUCCUCUUGCAUCUUUGCUAGGUACUAUCCGGUAAAUGUGGCACCUCCCUCUGCGGUUGGUUCAGCGGUCCAGGGCGUCGCCUCCCCUUCCCGGGGACUGUGCAGGGACCCCACUUCCACAUAGAUGGCCCCUGCAUUUCGGUCUCACGCUGGAACUAAAUCUGAUUCCUGGUUCGAAUCAACCCAAGAUGAUGAACCAUGAAGACGGUACAGAGUGCAUGACAAAGUGGCCCAGAGGAUGCCAGCUGUUCUCAACCCUUGCUGUACAUUUCCCCACUCUUCCAAGAGCUCACUGAGUUUUGAAUUAAAACCCUCUAGUGAGGGGUGAGAAGAGCUGACAAAUCAGAACUGAGGAGGAUUGUUACAGAGCCCCACGAGGAACACAUGAUGCUGCGCUGACUUCUCUCUCCUGGGUGCACUCCUGCCCAAACUGUCCCGUUGUGUUUCACCACCUCUGAAUACCCUUGAUUUGCCCCUGAUUUUGAACUCCAUCUCCUCUCACUUUGUCUCUCGCUCCGCCACACCCCCCACACACAGGCACACAAUAUAAUUAGUGUUGUAAUGAUGCUCUUAUUUGGUUACAUAUGUGUUAACUGUUGUUAUUUCUAUUGUAAACUCUGUUGUUAAUGUUAUCAAUUUGAAUGAAUGUAUUUCAUGUACAAAUGUAUUGUUUAUCUGACAUUUAGAUUUCUGGGAGAAUUUCACUGUAAAUUUA
Molecule: long non-coding RNA, 848 nt
Organism: Oncorhynchus tshawytscha (Chinook salmon)
Lineage: Eukaryota; Metazoa; Chordata; Actinopteri; Salmoniformes; Salmonidae
Source: Ensembl